CCUACGGGUGGCAGCAGUGAGGAAUAUUGGUCAAUGGUCGGGAGACUGAACCAGCCAAGCCGCGUGAGGGAUGAAGGUACAGAGUAUCGUAAACCUCUUUUGUCAGGGAACAAAGGCGGGGACGUGUCCCCGGAUGAGUGUACCUGAAGAAAAAGCAUCGGCAAACUCAGUGCCAGCAGCCGCGGUAAUACGGGGGAUGCGAGCGUUAUCCGGAUUUAUUGGGUUAAAGGGGUGCGCAGGCGGGCCUGUAAGUCGGCGGUGAAAUCGCGGGGCCCACCCCCGCCGAGCCGUCGGAACUGGGAGCCUUGAGUGCGGCGGAGGGAUGCGGAAUGCGCGGUGUAGCGGUGAAAUGCGUAGAUAUCGCGCAGAACCCCGAUUGCGAAGGCAGCGGUCCGUGCCGCCACUGACGCUGAGGUACGAAAGCGCGGGGAUCGAACAGGAUUAGAUACCCUUGUAGUC
RNAcentral lists this ribosomal RNA (459 nucleotides) under uncultured bacterium. RNAcentral describes it as "partial 16S ribosomal RNA". It matches the Rfam family "Bacterial small subunit ribosomal RNA", at positions 338 to 795 of the family's 1533-position model. The record is from RNAcentral.